CGGGAAAGGACUCGAGGUUUCUAACUCCUCCGCCCCGGGGGCAGCCUCCCGCCGACACAGCGUGACUGCACAGCGCAGCGCGCUCCCUCAGUCUGGUGACAGCGGCUCGCUCGAGCGGGGCCCAGGGCCGGCGUGCCAGGUCGGCGGGGUCACUGACUGCUUCGCCUUUCGAUUUAAGAAUACCUAGCGUACACCUGGUCCUCAGGACAGAAUAAGGGGGCCCGUCCUCACACGCGGCGGGCCGCCGAUGGAGCUGCCUUUAGGCACCCGGCAGGGCCGGCGCGGCUUCAGAUUGAGAGCUGCCGCCGGAGGGGCGCUGUUCUAGGCACUGUGUGGGGGAAUCCCGGGGUUUAAUCUGUUCUGAGCAGCUCUGGGCUGCAGACGCUGCCAUCCCACCGGUCUCCCCCUGGGCCGAGGGCAUACUGGGCGGGAAGCGAUUUCACGCGAGGGCCGCGGCGCCCGCCCCCGGCUGGCCUUUCUCCCCUGAUCUGGCGCCCCGGGCGUCCCGCGGCUCGGGGUGAGGGCGUUUAAGUGACCGGUGGCAGCUCGCGCUUCCCGGAAGGGCUCUGGCGGUGACUCAGGGCCGCCUCUCGAGGGGGCUCUCCGCGGGGAGGGCGCCGGGGCUGGUCGGGGGGCCUUCCCCUCACGGUGGGCUUGGCAGCGCCGGCGCCCGCGCCGCGGCAUCGAGUGACCGAGCGCACGCCAGGCCUCACGGCGCUCGGCCGGGGGACGGCCGCGCCCAGCUCCGCCACCGGACAUGGGCGACGCCUGGCUGGGCUGCCGAGGGCGGGAGCGAAACCAUUUCAUCGCGGCCCAGCGGGAGGGGCACGCCCGCCCCGUCACUUCGAGGAAGCCGGAGCCUGACAGGCCGCGCACGAGCCGGAAGGGCGGCGAGUCAGGGACCAUCCUGCGCACGCGCGGCGCCCCUCCCGCACCCGGUCGCGUUGAGCGGCUCCCUCCGCCAGCUGCCGGAUCUAAGUCGUCGGCCUUCGCCGCCGCCGGCCUGCCGCCCCCGCGCCGCCCUGACGCAGCCGGCCCGCCCUUCGCCCCCGCGGCGCCGGCUUCUUGUGACGUCGCAGCCCAGCCCUCGCGCUUCGUCCCCCGAGCGCGGCGGGGCGGCGGGGCGGCGGGGCGGCGGGGCGGCGGGGCGGCGGGGCGGCGGGGCGGCGGGGCGGGCGGGCGCUCGUGACCUGUCGGAAGCUCUGUGGGGAAGGACCCGUCUUUUGUAAUUUCCUACGGUUUCCUAAUAAGGGUGAAAAUGCGGGCACCUCUGAACUUGCAAGCUGGGAGUUCUGAUCCAAGAGUGGCAUCUGGAGAGGCUCGGUGUAAAAAGCGGUUAAAGAGCUUCCAGGAGUGGUUAAUCCUUUUGUAAGCUAUUUGAAGCCAAAAUGGAAAUCAAGAUGUGGACGAGCUGAUCACACAUGGCCACACCUUCAGGGCAAAGGUUCCUGGAUAUCACUAGAGCUCUGCAUACCGAAAAUGGUGUAAAUUCCAGACCCUGCCCAGAUGAACUGCGUCUAAAGUUACAAAUAACAUAUAUAGUGGCCAAAUUCAUUGACCGGAACUGUUUUCACAAGAAAGAUGCUGAUCAAAACAGAGUUGAACAGAAGAUGGAGUAGAAGAAAGGGAAAAUGAAUGAUUCAGUUAUUGCUAACUUGUAGGAAAUAAAUAUUUGGUAAAUAAGAAACGAACUUUUGAGAGAAAAACGUUAAUUCACUGAGAAAUAAGGAUAAUGAAUUCAUUUUAAUUGUCUGCCUAAUUUCAUACAUGUAACCUACUUCUUUCCUUGAUGUCAUAUUAUCAUGGGAUCUUUAUAAGGGACCUUGAAAUUUCAUGUGACACAUUUCAGUGAUUGCAGGUCAGAACUCAUUUCAUCCAUCCAGGGAAGUGAGAGUCUAUCUGCUCUCAAAGAAUUAGGAAGAAAGGGAUUCCAACCUGAUGGGGAAACGAAAUGAUAAGGAUUAUGAGAAUGAUCGGAUGGGGAGGGGGGCUUUUUCUGUUGCCCCGGAUUUGAAAGAAGGCCCAGAGCUAAAAACGGUAAUGGGGAUCUGAAACUUUCUCCAAAGUUUUUCUAAGGGG
RNAcentral lists this long non-coding RNA (2079 nucleotides) under Equus asinus (donkey). RNAcentral describes it as "lncRNA (ENSEASG00005028248.1)". The record is from RNAcentral. Lineage: Eukaryota; Metazoa; Chordata; Mammalia; Perissodactyla; Equidae.